UAGCACUUCACUUCACCAGUUGAAGACCACCUUAUCUGAACUGUGAAAUGGAGAGGAAGUGACUGAAAAAUCGUGUGAGACAAAUCACAAAAAAACAGCAGGCAAUUACAAGAGACAUCUAGGAACAGCUAUGUCCUUAACUUCAAACCAUCUGCUGAACAUGUAGAUACCCUUGGAAACUGCAAGUGUAAGAAUGAAGUGUUCUAAACCUUGGAGUGGAAGCCUUCAGCUGGGAGUCAUUCCAAUGGUCUACAGAGAGAUGGUCAACAUCAGAACCAGAGUAAUAGCAGUGAAGAUGUAAAGGAGAAUAUGAAUGAAAAAAUGUGCACCAGAUUGAAAUCUUAUGACUUCAAAAAUUCUCUUCUAUUGGAAAAAUGGAGAGGAAGAGGAAAGGGUCUAUGAUGACACACAAGUUUCUGACUUGGCAACCUGAAUAGGUAUAAGAAGUAUCUUUUCUCUUUGUAUAAGAUGAUAGAAUAACUAAUGAGAAUAAUUUCAGAGUUUGGGACUGAGAUGUGUUGAGAACCUCCAGGUAAAUAUAUCUGUUAAGGACUAGCAUAUGGGGCUUGAAGUCUAGGAGUGAAUUCCAGACAUGAAUUGAAACCAUGAUCUUGGGAGAUAUAACCCUGUGAGAACAUGUGGAAACAUAAUGAAUAGAAAAUACAAUACAGUGUUCAGAAGUGUAACUAAAGGGGAGAUGGAAGAAUAUCGGUAUUUUAUUCUGAUAUAUGUAAAAAUACUUUUAAUCAACUGAUUUUUGGACAUAACUGAGCGAAUUUUUCCAACAAAACUGGCUAUGCUAAAGAACCCCAAAUUACGGUGUUUUGGAUGGCUAAAGAAUGUGCUGAGAUGUUGAUUCCCUGGGCCAUCAAGCUGGUGCAUCCUCAGUGUGAUUGGUAAAUAUUUAUUUCUACAGAGUCCAAGACGUGAGAAUGGUUUUGUGGCAUAAAAGUCAUGAUGUCGACGUAAAACAUUUUCUUGUGACUAGCAAAACAUGUUAAAUUGCAUUGUCCAUUUGUGUAUGAAAAGAGAAAACCUUUAAAAAUCUCUUCUGGGCAUCAUGUUUAGGCACAAAAUUGGGAGUAUUUGUUUUGCAUGCAUUUUAUCUUCUUAAUUAUCUACUUACAUGAAGUCAUCUAUACAAUAGGUAUUAGUGGAACUGGAGAUUGAUAUCAGUAUAAUGGUCAAAUAGCAGGUAUAGAACUGUUAUUUCAAGCAACACCUCAAGAAAGGCAGGUAUGUGUGCAGGACAGAGCUCCGGGUGACCUUGGACUGACCCAGUUCUCUCCCCCUUUCUCAUGUGAGGUUCUCAAACAUAAACAUAGAGAAUAUGCUGGCAGUGCAGCUUGCCGAGAUAAGAAGGAACAGGCUCUAUUCCUGCCCCUCCUGGAACAAGAUGUCCUUCAGCAUUUUAGCUUGGCAAAUUAUGUUAUCCCUGGGAUAUAAAACCCAAGGUACACUGUUUUCAGCUGCAGUGCAGGUGGGGCACACAUAAGAUGCCAGACACCCUGGGCAGCUUUUCUGAGCUUCAGAAAAGCUCAUCAUGAAUUCUAGGGCUCUGCUUCCCCUUACCGCCUAUGUGUGAAUAAUAAAAUUGCUUCACAUAACUUGUAUGAGUAUUAUGUCUCACCUGACUCAUGCAAGUGAUAAAAAUUGCAGAUCCAAAUGCAGUGGACUGAAGUGUUAAGACUUCUCUUUCUCGUGAUGGGCUUAGUGAUGAUAUUUGCUAUUCCCCAUGCAGUGGGAAUUUUUCCCAGCGGUUGGUAACCAGUGCACAGUUCACCUGCUUCACAAUGCAGAGGAGGGGAAGCUGAAGGUUGAAGAACCAGAGGAGGUCAUAUUCAAGCAGAGGUCACAAGCACUGGGAAAUUAGGACACCUUGCAAUAGUAUAUAAAUUCGAGGUUAGGACCCAAUUAUAGAUUGCAAAAUCAAAGAUUUAAUUCAGAGAUCAGGGAGCUUGUUUUCAGUAACCAGUUAUCAGGAAGGAGUCAGAAGUCUAGAAGAAAAUUAACUGUGCCUGAAACAAAGAAGAGGCAUAUGAGGUCCAGAAUUCAGAUCUAGAGAACAUGUCAUAAUGCUCAAAGUGCUGGCAUAAUCCAAAGGCAAUGAUGUUUUCUUCACACUUUCUGCCACGACAGGGUGAAGUCUCAGCAGGAGAAGGAUCAAGGUUCAUUCUUACAUUCUUAUAUCCUACUAUUUAUUUAAUUUGGUUCAUCUUUAACCUCAUUCUCUAAUACUCACUUUCCUUAUCUCUCUGGGAUAGCCUCUUUGGACCAGUAGACUUUGAAGAUGUCAAAGCAUUCACAUUUGCUGCUGCCUGCAAAACCUUGCCCCUAGACAGUUGCACUAUUCAUUUUCACAUGGCCUCUGUUCUGACAUCACCUCCUCAGUGAUGUCUUUGCUAACAACCCUAUGUAAAGUAGAACCAACACAUUAGUCUUCAGCCCUUACUUGUUUCAUUUCCAGUCAUAGACCUUAUCCCUAUGAUACUGCAUUGAAUCUUUAUUUGCAAACAAACAGAAGCUCUAUAUAAUGGAUAAUUUGUCUACUUCCCACCUAUUCCCAGGAAUAUUCUUC
This 2578-nucleotide long non-coding RNA is filed under the name Homo sapiens (human). RNAcentral's name for it is "HSALNT0212058". The record is from RNAcentral. Lineage: Eukaryota; Metazoa; Chordata; Mammalia; Primates; Hominidae.